Molecule: ribosomal RNA, 155 nt
Filed under: uncultured Gammaproteobacteria bacterium
Lineage: Bacteria; Pseudomonadati; Pseudomonadota; Gammaproteobacteria
Description: partial 16S ribosomal RNA
Rfam family: Bacterial small subunit ribosomal RNA
Source: RNAcentral
CUCCUACGGGAGGCAGCAGUGGGGAAUAUUGGACAAUGGGCGCAAGCCUGAUCCAGCAAUGCCGCGUGUGUGAAGAAGGCCUUCGGGUUGUAAAGCACUUUCAUCAGGAGCGAAAUACUAUCGGUUAAUAACCGGUGGGGCUGACGGUACCUGAG